AUUGAACGCUGGCGGCAUGCCUUACACAUGCAAGUCGAACGGUAACAGGCCUUCGGGUGCUGACGAGUGGCGAACGGGUGAGUAAUGCAUCGGAACGUGCCCAAUCGUGGGGGAUAACGUAGCGAAAGUUACGCUAAUACCGCAUAAGCCCUGAGGGGGAAAGUGGGGGACCGCAAGGCCUCACGCGAAUGGAGCGGCCGAUGUCAGAUUAGCUAGUUGGUGGGGUAAAGGCCCACCAAGGCGACGAUCUGUAGCGGGUCUGAGAGGAUGAUCAGCCACACUGGGACUGAGACACGGCCCAGACUCCUACGGGAGGCAGCAGUGGGGAAUAUUGGACAAUGGGCGAAAGCCUGAUCCAGCAAUACCGCGUGUGUGAAGAAGGCCUGAGGGUUGUAAAGCACUUUCAAUAGGAAGGAACACCUACCGGUUAAUACCCGGUAGACUGACAUUACCUAUACAAGAAGCACCGGCUAACUCCGUGCCAGCAGCCGCGGUAAAGUGUG
This 503-nucleotide ribosomal RNA is filed under the name uncultured bacterium. RNAcentral's name for it is "bacterial SSU rRNA". It matches the Rfam family "Bacterial small subunit ribosomal RNA", at positions 29 to 529 of the family's 1533-position model. The record is from RNAcentral.